ACGCUGGCGGCGUGCCUAAUACAUGCAAGUCGAACGCUUCUUUUUCCACCGGAGCUUGCUCCACCGGAAAAAGAGGAGUGGCGAACGGGUGAGUAACACGUGGGUAACCUGCCCAUCAGAAGGGGAUAACACUUGGAAACAGGUGCUAAUACCGUAUAACAAUCGAAACCGCAUGGUUUUGAUUUGAAAGGCGCUUUCGGGUGUCGCUGAUGGAUGGACCCGCGGUGCAUUAGCUAGUUGGUGAGGUAACGGCUCACCAAGGCGACGAUGCAUAGCCGACCUGAGAGGGUGAUCGGCCACAUUGGGACUGAGACACGGCCCAAACUCCUACGGGAGGCAGCAGUAGGGAAUCUUCGGCAAUGGACGAAAGUCUGACCGAGCAACGCCGCGUGAGUGAAGAAGGUUUUCGGAUCGUAAAACUCUGUUGUUAGAGAAGAACAAGGAUGAGAGUAACUGUUCAUCCCUUGACGGUAUCUAACCAGAAAGCCACGGCUAACUACGUGCCAGCAGCCGCGGUAAUACGUAGGUGGCAAGCGUUGUCCGGAUUUAUUGGGCGUAAAGCGAGCGCAGGCGGUUUCUUAAGUCUGAUGUGAAAGCCCCCGGCUCAACCGGGGAGGGUCAUUGGAAACUGGGAGACUUGAGUGCAGAAGAGGAGAGUGGAAUUCCAUGUGUAGCGGUGAAAUGCGUAGAUAUAUGGAGGAACACCAGUGGCGAAGGCGGCUCUCUGGUCUGUAACUGACGCUGAGGCUCGAAAGCGUGGGGAGCAAACAGGAUUAGAUACCCUGGUAGUCCACGCCGUAAACGAUGAGUGCUAAGUGUUGGAGGGUUUCCGCCCUUCAGUGCUGCAGCUAACGCAUUAAGCACUCCGCCUGGGGAGUACGACCGCAAGGUUGAAACUCAAAGGAAUUGACGGGGGCCCGCACAAGCGGUGGAGCAUGUGGUUUAAUUCGAAGCAACGCGAAGAACCUUACCAGGUCUUGACAUCCUUUGACCACUCUAGAGAUAGAGCUUCCCCUUCGGGGGCAAAGUGACAGGUGGUGCAUGGUUGUCGUCAGCUCGUGUCGUGAGAUGUUGGGUUAAGUCCCGCAACGAGCGCAACCCUUAUUGUUAGUUGCCAUCAUUUAGUUGGGCACUCUAGCAAGACUGCCGGUGACAAACCGGAGGAAGGUGGGGAUGACGUCAAAUCAUCAUGCCCCUUAUGACCUGGGCUACACACGUGCUACAAUGGGAAGUACAACGAGUCGCAAAGUCGCGAGGCUAAGCUAAUCUCUUAAAGCUUCUCUCAGUUCGGAUUGUAGGCUGCAACUCGCCUACAUGAAGCCGGAAUCGCUAGUAAUCGCGGAUCAGCACGCCGCGGUGAAUACGUUCCCGGGCCUUGUACACACCGCCCGUCACACCACGAGAGUUUGUAACACCCGAAGUCGGUGAGGUAACCUUUUGGAGCCAGCCGCCUAAGGUGGGAUAGAUGAUUGG
RNAcentral lists this ribosomal RNA (1473 nucleotides) under Enterococcus sp. YAZ2. Its description in RNAcentral is "bacterial SSU rRNA". It matches the Rfam family "Bacterial small subunit ribosomal RNA". Lineage: Bacteria; Bacillati; Bacillota; Bacilli; Lactobacillales; Enterococcaceae. The record is from RNAcentral.